AGCCUUAAUUAAAUCAGAUCUAUUCUAAAAUUAAUUAGGACAUAAAUUAAUUUUCUCAAAAUCUCUAGGAUCACUAAUCAGAUCAUUAUCAUCUCUGAAAUUAAACCUGCACCUCAUGUCCAGUGCUAGCUAGACACAGUCAACUAUUUAAUCUUAUAUGAUCUCUUGCUAGAUGUGUGCUCUAGAUGCCAGAUCAGCUGACACAUUCCUGUACAGAUCUAUGGGCAAAUUUAUAAUUUUGACUAUAAAUGAAUAAAAGGGUUAUUCUUCUAUCACAUUGUAUACAUUGUAUCUGUGAUACAUUUUUUGAGUUAGUAGGAAUGUCAAUUCAUAUUUUCAAGAGUUAAAAAUUUAAGGCAUAAAUUUACAUAACUAAC
Molecule: long non-coding RNA, 377 nt
Filed under: Elaeis guineensis (African oil palm)
Lineage: Eukaryota; Viridiplantae; Streptophyta; Magnoliopsida; Arecales; Arecaceae
Description: long non-coding RNA (EGUI_LNC053298)
Source: RNAcentral